Molecule: ribosomal RNA, 468 nt
Filed under: uncultured bacterium
Lineage: Bacteria
Description: partial 16S ribosomal RNA
Rfam family: Bacterial small subunit ribosomal RNA
Source: RNAcentral
GACGAACGCUGGCGGCGUGCUUAACACAUGCAAGUCGAACGGAAAGGCCCUGCUUUUGUGGGGUGCUCGAGUGGCGAACGGGUGAGUAACACGUGAGUAACCUGCCCUUGACGUUGGGAUAACUUCAGGAAACUGGGGCUAAUACCGGAUAGGAGCUCCUGCUGCAUGGUGGGGGUUGGAAAGUUUCGGCGGUUGGGGAUGGACUCGCGGCUUAUCAGCUUGUUGGUGGGGUAGUGGCUUACCAAGGCUUUGACGGGUAGCCGGACUGAGAGGGUGACCGGCCACAUUGGGACUGAGAUACGGCACAGACUACUACGGGAGGCAGCAGUGGGGAAUAUUGCCCAAUGGGCGGAAGCCUGAUGCAGCAACGCCGCGUGCGGGAUGACGGCCUUCGGGUUGUAAACCGAUUUCGCCUGUGACGAAGCGUGAGUGACGGUAAUGGGUAAAGAAGCACCGGCUAACUACGUG